Long non-coding RNA from Camelina sativa (false flax), 1541 nucleotides. RefSeq lists it as uncharacterized. NCBI's taxonomy places the organism in Eukaryota, Viridiplantae, Streptophyta, Magnoliopsida, Brassicales, Brassicaceae. The record is from RefSeq and is a predicted model, not a curated record.
UUGGUUGGUUGUUGGAUAAAUAUAAUUUUUUUUUUCUUUCACGACCUCCUCUCUCCUUUCUCUCUCGAUCUUAACGGUGAUGGAUUCGCCGAUUCAACUCCGGAAAAAUUUCCGAUGAUGGUAACGUUGACGUUGUCUCCGUUGAAGAUGGUGUUGUUUCUCUCAAACUCCAAGAUUUAUUGAAUUUAUAUGCUCUAUAGUACUCUGGAGUCGAGUUUUUGAUAAAGAAGUAAAGCAGAUGACCGUUGAGGUGAGUGAGGCUCCUUUUAAGAGUGGCAAUGGUGAAGCCAAUCCAAAGAGAGUGGCAACGGUUUACAUACUGCAUGAUGGGGAUUGCGUUUGACUGUUAUUGAUACUUCUCUAUCCCCUGAUCAACGAAAUAUGAUUUUAUCUGGAAGCGAUGAUAAUAUCUGCAAGGUGAUUGUUUUUGUUGCUGCGUUGAUUCAUUGGGAGAGAUAAGCUCUGGUUUAUUGCUGGUUUUGUCUCUGCAGAAUCAAGAAGAAAAAGCCUGUGGCAAUUGCGAUCAAUAUGGCCAUUGCGCUCAAUAUGGCCAUUGCGCUCAUUUGAAUCAAGCAUUGCUCUGUUUACUCUCUCUACAAAAACGUUCACAGCAAGCGAAAUAGUGAAAGCUACUAAUAACUUUGAUGAAUCGAGGGUUCUUGGUGAAGGUGGAUUCAGACGGGUUUACGAAGGUGUUUUCGAUGAUGGAACUAAAGUAGCAGUUAAAGUAUUGAAGAGAGAUGACCAUCAAGGUAGCCAAGAGUUCUUGGCUGAAGUUGAAAUGCUUAGCCGUCUUCAUCACAGAAACCUUGUGAAUUUAAUCGGUAUUUGUUCUGAAGAUCGUAACCGUUCCCUGGUUUAUGAACUCAUACCAAAUGGCAGCGUUGAAUCUCACCUCCACAGGAUCGAUAAAGAAUCUUCGCCGUUAGAUUGGGAUGCUCGGUUGAAGAUAGCUCUUGGUGCUGCCCGUGGUUUAGCGUAUUUACACGAAGACUCUAGCCCCCGAGUUAUACACUGAGACUUCAAGUCCAGCAACAUCUUGCUUGAACAAAAUAUAGAUGUUAUCAGCUUCCUGCUAGUUCCAAUUCUAACAUGACUAGUAAUCAUGGUGUUGCGAGGAACUACUGAAGUCUAUUGGUAGAGAGAAGUAGCUCAAUCGUGGACGCCAAGCCUCCAUUGAUGUUUUCGAACUAGUCAGGCAAGUCAGACCACAUCAAACCAACAAAAACUUUUGAAAAUGAUGGAGAUAUUAUUAAGGAUGAUGCUGAGUCGUGGAGUAUGGAUUCGUCAGCUCCACACCUUCUUUCUCAUUCAUUCUUAAUCCUAUUUUCCUGCAUCUCUUGCUUUAUCAAUGUCUGGUCUAUAUAUGUGUUUUGCUUGUUUUUGAUUCAGAUUCUGCCAAAAAAAAUAGCUUCUUUGAUCAUUAUACAACAUUUAACUUUUUUCCUCUUCUUUCUUUCUUUCUUUUGAUUUUGUAGUUUAAGAAACAUUGAUGGGAUUUCUCGAGUGGAAGGUUGUUUUAUUUAAAGUUUUUAGUGACU